This 282-nucleotide ribosomal RNA is filed under the name uncultured bacterium. RNAcentral's name for it is "partial 16S ribosomal RNA". It matches the Rfam family "Bacterial small subunit ribosomal RNA", at positions 335 to 608 of the family's 1533-position model. The record is from RNAcentral.
ACUCCUACGGGAGGCAGCAGUGGGGAAUAUUGGACAAUGGGCGCAAGCCUGAUCCAGCCAUGCCGCGUGUGUGAAGAAGGCCUUAUGGUUGUAAAGCACUUUAAGCGAGGAGGAGGCUACUUUAGUUAAUACCUAGAGAUAGUGGACGUUACUCGCAGAAUAAGCACCGGCUAACUCUGUGCCAGCAGCCGCGGUAAUACAGAGGGUGCAAGCGUUAAUCGGAUUUACUGGGCGUAAAGCGCGCGUAGGCGGCUAAUUAAGUCAAAUGUGAAAUCCCCGCAG